Molecule: transfer RNA, 74 nt
Filed under: Neurospora crassa
Lineage: Eukaryota; Fungi; Ascomycota; Sordariomycetes; Sordariales; Sordariaceae
Description: tdbR00000517
Rfam family: tRNA
About the family: Transfer RNA (tRNA) molecules are approximately 80 nucleotides in length. Their secondary structure includes four short double-helical elements and three loops (D, anti-codon, and T loops).
Source: RNAcentral
UGCGGAUUAUUGUAAUAGUAACAUAUUUGGCUCAUGUCCGAAUGACAUAGGUGCAAAUCCUGUAUCCGCAUCCA